Molecule: long non-coding RNA, 873 nt
Organism: Pantherophis guttatus
Lineage: Eukaryota; Metazoa; Chordata; Lepidosauria; Squamata; Colubridae
Source: RefSeq, a predicted model, not a curated record
GGCUCAGCGUCCGACAUGGCAAAAACAGCAGAGCGCAGGAAAAGGCCACGAGGGAGAAGCGACCUUUCCGCGAAGCGAGAAAGGCUUGGCCGGAGGUGGACUCCCUCGGGAAGAACUCCACUUCCUGUGUCUUGAGCUGCUGUGCAAUUUACUUCAGCAUCCAUGCAUGCUUGGCUGGAGAAUUCUGAGAGCUGAAAUCCACAGGACUUAAAAUUGCCAAGGAAAAAGGGAGAGCAAGAAGAUGGCCAUUCUGAGAUCUGUUCUGGGGAAAAGAACUCCAUUCAAUUAAGGAGUGAUAUCGGAAGCAUGGUGGAGGGUGCUCCAAGCACCAUUGAUGGAUUCCGAACUGCCCGAAGAGAAUGAAAAGAAAACUUGUGCCUUUCUGAGGAAACAGAAGAGUUGAAAUGGAGUUUUGAGAAGAAUGUACUUGGUAAUGAAAGAGUGACAACUUUCUCCAGGUAAAAAGAUGGAUCAUCUGAACAGAGUUCCUGGAGCGAGGGACCAAGUAAAUCCAGGUGAAAGUGGUGCUUGGUGGAGCACAAUUGGGGAUUUUGGGGAAAGAUGUCAGGUAAUCUGGAAGGAGUUUGAGCCUAUUGAGCCUAAGAAUGUAGGCAAGGUUCUUGUUGUUCUCCUUUUGACAGCAUAACACCCACUUCAAAAUGGUUCCAAUGAAGCUAGGAUUUCAAUAAACAAUCUUAAGCCACAGAUGUUCCAAGAAUUCUUAUUGGAAUGAGAGAAUUGGUCUGUUCUGGAGAAAGCUUUGUUGGCUUGCCUUAGUCCUUCUUUAAAAUAUCAUUUUGUAUCGUUGUGAUAUUAUAUGCUUCUAAUUUGUAUCCCCUGCCUUGAAUUCUAAUGAAACCAAAUUUAGCUUUU